UCCACGGUGGUCCACUGGCCGGGACUCUGUGUUGCCAAUGCAGGGGACCCAGGUUCAAUCCCUGGUCAGGGAA
Molecule: non-coding RNA, 73 nt
Organism: Bos taurus (domestic cattle)
Lineage: Eukaryota; Metazoa; Chordata; Mammalia; Artiodactyla; Bovidae
Source: Rfam